AUCGUGGAGUCUAGAAUGGAUCCUUUUAUUUUGCUAUAUAGGAUACCACUAAAGUUGGCCGUAAAAAGGCGGCCUCACCGCAAAGUAGUCGUAUUUCCAAGAUGUCUGUCAAGUCUGUCAAAGAAUGCUGAAGGGAACGAAUUUUUCUCGACGGUCCAGAAUGGGCUAAAGAUUAAAUAAAAUUAUAAGAGUGAAGCGAAUUGUCGUCAAUUGAAUUGGAACUAAAAACUGUUGCGAAAAUUCAGAUUGUUGAGCAAGGCAGUCAUGCCAGAAGGUUUACAUCCAAUAUUGCCCAGGGGGACAGUAAUUAGAACAAUUUCUUUAAGUUUGUGUGGACACAGAGGCUUGAAUGUAGAAAUCAAAGAGUGGACAUGCGUAUAAAAUAUCGCCAACAGACCAUGGACGGAUAAAGAGAAAAAUCUACUAUUGUGAUUGAAAGUUGAAAAUAAACAGCAAAUAAACUUCAAAUAGAAAUUUAAACAUACAAGAAGUAGGACCUUGACCAUGCCUCAACAACAUCAGGAACAAGAAGUCAAACAUGCAAUAUUAAUUCACAUGCUUGUAGCUAAUAGCACAUGAGCAUUAGCAAGUGAAGGAGAGAAACAGUAACUAAUGACCAUAAAAUUCUCCAUUGAUACUUAUCAAAAUUGGAUCCAAUCUGGACAACUUCAAGAGUCUAGCCAGCUCUAUUGAUACUUAAAAAUUGGAUCCAUUCUGGAAAUUGUAAGAGUCUAGCCAGCUCUAUUGAUACUAACCAAAAUUGGAUCCAUUCUGGAGAAUUUCAAGUGUGUAGCCAGCUCUAUUGAUAUUGACCAAAACUCGAUCCAUUCUGGACAUUUGCAAGAGUGUAUCCAGUCCUGUUGAAAUUGACCGAAUUUUGAUCCAUUCUGGACAUUUUCAAGAGUGAAGCCAGAUCUAUUGAUACUUACAAAAAUUGGAUCCAUUCUGGACAUUUUCAAGAGUGUACCCAGCACUAUUGUUACUUGCCAAAAUUGGAUCCAUUCUAACAAUUUCAAUAGUCUAGCCGUAUUGAUACUUAACAAAAUUGGAUCCAAUCUGGACAUUUUCAAGCGUUUAGCCAGCCUUGUUGAUACUGACCGAAUUCGGAUUCAUUCUGUACAUUGUCAAAAUAUUUUUGAUUGAUCAUAUAAUGUCCCUGGGAUGAAAAUAAGCCACACCUUUUUGCUUUUUAUUAAAGGGGCCUUUUCAAGUUUUGGUAAAUUGUCAAAAUUGUUUCAGAUUUUUAUGUCCCCCACCACUAUAGUGGUUUAUAAAAUUAUAAAUCGUUGCAAUGCAAAACGAUUGAAUAAUAUGGAAAGUUCUGUUGUCGUUGUUAUAUUUUGUGAAACUACGAGAAUUGCUUAUAUAAAGUUUAAAAUACCUUCCACAUUGUAUGACCACAAAUGACCGAGUGGUCAAAGCAGUAGACUUUUACUCCAGUACUCCAGUUGUCAGUGGUUCUAUCCCUGUUGAGGGUUCAACCAAGAUUUGAUUUUCAAUUUGUGUCUAGUUGGGACCAUGGCGUUUUCCUUAUAUGCAUGUUAUAAAAAUUAUUAUAAUCCUAGGCCUAAACAACAAAGAUAAGGAGCCUGCAAUUGAGGUUGCAUCUGAAUAUUGUAUGGUAUUUGUUUGAACGACACAGGCCCUCUGGGACCUAUUUAAAAAACAUUAUUGAUCCAUUUUUUAUCUUUAACAACUUUUAUAAUUUUUCUCAGUACAUACUCCGGUUUGACUAUAAACAUACAAACUAGUGAAAAUAAUAAGUACUGCCAUAAUAACCAUGGCAAUGUGUUGUUGUUUUUUGGUUAAAGGCCAAUGUGCAGACUUACUACUAAAUGAUGAAACAAUGAUGUAAUGUUACUGUUUUAAAUUUUAGAAAGUAUGUGUUUUGAUAUUCUUAGCAUUUUUAUUUAUUUUUCAUGUAAAAUAUACACUUUUGAAAAAUGGUGUUUUUUAACUGUUAAGUUAAAUACACAGGUAUUUCAGUUUGGUUAUGUAGAGGGGUUUGUGUAUUGACACAAGGGGUUAUAGUUGCCAACUUUUAUUAAGCCCCCCUUUGAAGAAGAGGGGGUAUAUUGUUUUGCACAUGUCGGUCCGUCGGUUCGUCCACCAGAUGGUUUCUGGAUGAGAACGCUUAGGCCUAGGAUCAUGAAACUUCAUAGGAACAUUGAUCAUGACUGGCAGAUGACCCAUAUAGAUUUUCAGGUCACCAGGUCAAAGGUCAUGGGCACAGUGACUCGAAAUAGUAAAAUGGUUUCCGGAUGAUAACUCAAGAAUGCUUACGCCUAGGAUCAUGAAACUUCAUAUAUACAUUGAUCAUGACUGGCAAAUGACCCUUUCGAUUUUCAGGUCACUAGGUCAAAGGUCAAGGUCACACUGACUCGAAACAGUAAAAUGGUUUCCGGAUGAUAACUCAAGAAUGCUUACGCCUAGUUUUAAUUAUAUAAUUGAUAAUGGUAUGAAAUAUGAUAACAUAAAGUAUUAUAAGUAUUAUCAUAAAUUAUAAAUCAGAUAAUUGAUAAAUACAAUAUCAUUCAAAUAAUAUAAUGAUUACAAUUUUAACAAGUAUACAAGUAAAUACACUUAAAAUAAUAAAAUGACUCACCAGUUACCAUAUGAAGAAAGAAACUAAAGAUAGUAGGUUUAAGCAAAUGAAAAAUGCUUGUACCUCUUGCAUGGUUUAGUAACGAAAUGAAUCAAAUGUUUCAGAUAUAUAAAACCAUAAAUAUGUAUCUGAAAUCAGCUCACCUAAAAAGCAUUCUCCAUUAUUAAUAUAUGGUAGCUCACUCAUUCAUCACAUUGAAUCUCUCUUGAUUGGAUAAGUAGUUAUAAUUAUUUAUAAAAUUGGUGUUUUGUUUUGUUUUCAUUGUGUUGCCUUUUUGCUUUUUGCUUUCUCUGAGAAAUUUGCAUCUUGAUUUUUUCAUUUGCUUUAUUAGGUUUGCAUUCUGAUGCUUUUUUUGCUUUUGCUUUCUUUGAGCUUAACAGUAUGUAUAUAUAAUACUAGUGACACUACAACAGUUUGCUGUUGUUGUCUUAUUUCGUUCAUUUCAUUUGAUAUCUUGUUGAAGAACUUGUAGUACUGUAUGUAUGUAGCAUUAAUCAAUGCUUCUUUGCUCAUCAUUUGCCUUUGAAGCUCUGAAAUAGUGCUAGUUACACAUGCGGGAUAAUCAUUUCAGCAUUAGUAUUGUAUUAUUUUGCUUUUAUAAUUAUAUUUUAUUUUUUAUUCAUCAGUGUUGUAUUGUGUUGCUUAUAUUGUGUGAAAUUUGCUGAUCAUUUUCCUUCAAAUCUGGUUUGAGGUGAUAAUUUCCUUUAAGCCCUUUUUAUUUUGUGGCACUAUUGUGUUCUAUUUUCUCUGUAAGCAUUUUUACACCAUUUCUUUUUAUGGUACCUUAGGCCCCUUCCUUGUGUCAACAUCAACAAUCUUUUAAACAGCUCUUAAUUUUGAAUGUAUAGUACUGAUAUUAUAUUUCUGCUUACAUUUGAAUAAUGUCCUAUAGGAAUACUGCUUUAAUUGUGUUUUUAUUGUGCUUUAUUAGAAUAACUAUUUCUUAUGUAUGCCAUGUAUUAUUGAUGUGUUGCAAUUUGUUACUGCUUGUUAGUUUGGUAAACAGCUAUACAUAGCAUAUGUUAUAUACAUGUUAUUUCAUACUGACAAUAAAUUCGUUUUGAUGUGAUUUAA
Long non-coding RNA from Dreissena polymorpha, 3679 nucleotides. RefSeq lists it as uncharacterized. The record is from RefSeq and is a predicted model, not a curated record. The transcript is spliced from 2 exons. NCBI's taxonomy places the organism in Eukaryota, Metazoa, Mollusca, Bivalvia, Myida, Dreissenidae.